RNAcentral lists this ribosomal RNA (292 nucleotides) under uncultured bacterium. Its description in RNAcentral is "partial 16S ribosomal RNA". It matches the Rfam family "Bacterial small subunit ribosomal RNA", at positions 333 to 621 of the family's 1533-position model. The record is from RNAcentral.
GUGUUCCUACGGGGGGCAGCAGUGAGGAAUAUUGGUCAAUGGGCUUACGCCUGAACCAGCCAAGUCGCGUGAGGGAAGACUGCCCUAUGGGUUGUAAACCUCUUUUGUCAGGGAGCAACGCCGGCUACGUGUAGCCGGGCUGAGAGUACCUGAAGAAAAAGCAUCGGCUAACUCCGUGCCAGCAGCAGCGGUAAUACGGAGGAUGCGAGCGUUAUCCGGAUUUAUUGGGUAUAAAGGGUGCGUAGGCGGACUGCCAAGUCAGCGGUAAAAUCGCGGGGCUCAACCUCGCUCC